Non-coding RNA from Gasterosteus aculeatus aculeatus (three-spined stickleback), 1236 nucleotides. The record is from RefSeq and is a predicted model, not a curated record. Lineage: Eukaryota; Metazoa; Chordata; Actinopteri; Perciformes; Gasterosteidae.
GCAGUCCAUCUUCUUCAUAAGUGAGACACACACAGAGAGCCCAGGGUGUCCCUCACUGAUGAGCUUGAGCUUUCUGUGAGACUACUGAAGCAUUCGAAGGACGACGCUGGACCAACCUGCCCUUAGACUUUAAAACGCAGCUUCAUAGUCAGCCGUUUAAGGUGAACCUGCCGGUGGGGGUGACAAGCCUCAAGGAUCCUCGUCAGGCCCACAGGCUGCCAGCCGCCGCCUCAGGAUACGGACGCUGCCGUGUGUCUUCUGAUAAAGGACAAGGACAUCAGGAGCUGAGCAGGAGACACACCAGGUGUUGUCUUGAGAUGAUGGAGAUCAAAGAUGGAGAUCACAAGCCUGCACUUUGGGUAAGAGAGAACCGCUCUACACGGUGGUGUCUGUUUUUCACUUUAUCUUUUGUUGGUUUCAGAGAAGGGAUUUUCCUCAAGGAAUGAACGUUAAUGUGUUAUUUUGCUAUGAAUCCAGAAAAGUCCUCACAGAGUCGUGUUGUCUUAAAGAGCAACAUCUCAAAUGACUGAAGAUAUUUCCACCAUUGGCUCCACUCACACUUUGAAACCCACAGCUUUAGCUGCUUUCCAGAGUUGUAAUAUAUUUUGAGAUUAAACAGAACCAGAAACUGGUCAAAAACAGUUUUUAUCUAUCACCUGAUGUUUAUAUGUCUUAAUCCUUUCAUGCUCAUUCACUGAGACAGAAUUAAGUUUCUUAAAUCCCUCCCUGGGCAGCAGUGCUGUGAGCGUGAAUGGGUGAACUGGGGAAAGUGCUUCUUCUCUUCGGUAGGAACACUUUGUAAACGUAUAAGACUCCAUUUAUGUUCCUGGUAAAGGCAAACCAACAACGAAUGAACACUAGUUGCUGACUACUGUGGGUCAUUCAAGCGGUGUGACCAGUGUUUAACCUCCUUCAUCUGGAUCCCAUGUUGAUUGUAAAGUCCAGUGGACAUAGUAUCGCUGCAGGGACCGGAGGGAAAGUCUUCUGUAAUGUCUCGUUAUCAACAAAGUGUUAUUUGUAUUUCAGAUGUCAGAGAGGAGCAUGAAGAAAGGUGAGCAUUACAUGCGCAUUAUCAAUUUAUAAGAUUUAUUUGGGUACAUCUGUGUGAGUGUCUGCAUGUGUGGAGAGCAGCAGCAUGGCAGGAAAUAAAUAUAAUGUAGGUCUACGGGGGGUUAACGCCAUUUCCUGUUGACCCCUCCCCAACAAAUAUGUUAUCUAUCUCUCUCUCUCUCUCUC